Molecule: ribosomal RNA, 347 nt
Filed under: Scymnomorphus sp. AG07
Lineage: Eukaryota; Metazoa; Arthropoda; Insecta; Coleoptera; Coccinellidae
Description: partial 12S ribosomal RNA
Source: RNAcentral
UAAAAAUAUAAAAUAAAAACCAUACUAGUAUUAGUUAUGUUCUUUAAAAUAAAAAAAUUUGACAGUAUUUUAAACUAUUCAGAGGAACCUGUUCUAUAAUUGAUACUCCACAAUUUAAAUAACUUUUAUUAGAAACUUAUAUAUCGUCGUAAAAAAUAUUUUAAAAGAAUAUAAAUUUUUUUAAUUUUUUAUAAAAAAAUAAAUCAGAUCAAGAUAUAGUUAAUAUAAAAGAAGAGAUGGGUUACAAUAAUAAAUAAUUGUAAAUUAAUAACUUGAAAAUUUUUAUAAAAAUGGAUUUGAAAGUAAUUAUUAAAAAAUUUUAAUAAUGAUUAAGCUCUAAAAUAUGU